This is a transfer RNA of Glarea lozoyensis ATCC 20868, 101 nucleotides long. It matches the Rfam family "tRNA". Rfam says of the family: Transfer RNA (tRNA) molecules are approximately 80 nucleotides in length. Their secondary structure includes four short double-helical elements and three loops (D, anti-codon, and T loops). Further hydrogen bonds mediate the characteristic L-shaped molecular structure. tRNAs have two regions of fundamental functional importance: the anti-codon, which is responsible for specific mRNA codon recognition, and the 3' end, to which the tRNAs corresponding amino acid is attached (by aminoacyl-tRNA synthetases). tRNAs cope with the degeneracy of the genetic code in two manners: having more than one tRNA (with a specific anti-codon) for a particular amino acid; and 'wobble' base-pairing, i.e. permitting non-standard base-pairing at the 3rd anti-codon position. The record is from Rfam. Lineage: Eukaryota; Fungi; Ascomycota; Leotiomycetes; Helotiales; Helotiaceae.
GGUGGUGUGGUGUAAUGGUAGCACGUGACGUUGUGGUUCUCCGUUCUCAGGAUUAUUCAUGCUGACCCGUUUCAAUCUGGGUUCGAUUCCCAGCACCGCCA